GACGAACGCUGGCGGCGUGCCUAAUACAUGCAAGUCGAGCGAAUCAAUAGGAGCUAGCUCCUGUUGGUAGCGGCGGACGGGUGAGUAACACGUGGGCAACCUGCCUGUAAGACUGGGAUAACACCGGGAAACCGGUGCUAAUACCGGAUAAUUCUUUUCCUCUCAUGAGGAAAAGCUGAAAGUCGGUUUCGGCUGACACUUACAGAUGGGCCCGCGGCGCAUUAGCUAGUUGGUGAGGUAACGGCUCACCAAGGCGACGAUGCGUAGCCGACCUGAGAGGGUGAUCGGCCACACUGGGACUGAGACACGGCCCAGACUCCUACGGGAGGCAGCAGUAGGGAAUCUUCCACAAUGGACGAAAGUCUGAUGGAGCAACGCCGCGUGAGCGAUGAAGGCCUUCGGGUCGUAAAGCUCUGUUGUUAGGGAAGAACAAGUACCGGAGUAACUGCCGGUACCUUGACGGUACCUAACCAGAAAGCCACGGCUAACUACGUGCCAGCAGCCGCCGUAA
This 511-nucleotide ribosomal RNA is filed under the name uncultured bacterium. RNAcentral's name for it is "partial 16S ribosomal RNA". It matches the Rfam family "Bacterial small subunit ribosomal RNA", at positions 28 to 523 of the family's 1533-position model. The record is from RNAcentral.